GGGUCCGUCGGGGGAGCGGGGACGGUAAGACGUAUGGCUGACGCGUGUGCCGGAAUGAUUGGGCGUAAAGAGCGUGGAGGUGUGUGUUGGCGUCUGCCGGGAAGACCCGAGGCUCAACCUCGGGCGGGCGGUGGGUACGGGCAGGCUAGAGUGUGGUAGGGGAGACUGGGACUCCUGGUGUAGCGGUGAUAUGCGCAGAUAUCAGGAAGAACACCGAUGGCGAAGGCAGGUCUCUGGGCCAUUACUGACACUGAGAAGCGAAAGCAUGGGGAGCGAACAGGAUUAGAUACCCGUGUAGUC
This 300-nucleotide ribosomal RNA is filed under the name uncultured bacterium. RNAcentral describes it as "bacterial SSU rRNA". The stretch from base 52 to 300 matches the Rfam family "Bacterial small subunit ribosomal RNA", at positions 547 to 795 of the family's 1533-position model. The record is from RNAcentral.